This is a small nuclear RNA of Pteropus vampyrus (large flying fox), 105 nucleotides long. NCBI's taxonomy places the organism in Eukaryota, Metazoa, Chordata, Mammalia, Chiroptera, Pteropodidae. The record is from Ensembl.
GUACUCGCUUCGGCAGCACAUAUACUAAAAUCGGAACAAUACAGAGAAGAUUAGCAUGGCCCAAGCAAGGAUGAUACACAAAUUUGCAAAGCGUUCCAUACUUUU